Molecule: ribosomal RNA, 785 nt
Filed under: uncultured bacterium
Lineage: Bacteria
Description: bacterial SSU rRNA
Rfam family: Bacterial small subunit ribosomal RNA
Source: RNAcentral
AGAGUUUGAUCCUGGCUCAGGACGAACGCUGGCGGCGCGCCUAACACAUGCAAGUCGAACGAGCGAGAGAGAGCUUGCUUUCUCGAGCGAGUGGCGAACGGGUGAGUAACGCGUGAGGAACCUGCCUCAAAGAGGGGGACAACAGUUGGAAACGACUGCUAAUACCGCAUAAGCCCACGGCUCGGCAUCGAGCAGGGGGAAAAGGAGCAAUCCGCUUUGAGAUGGCCUCGCGUCCGAUUAGCUAGUUGGUGAGGUAACGGCCCACCAAGGCGACGAUCGGUAGCCGGACUGAGAGGUUGAACGGCCACAUUGGGACUGAGACACGGCCCAGACUCCUACGGGAGGCAGCAGUGGGGAAUAUUGCACAAUGGGGGAAACCCUGAUGCAGCGACGCCGCGUGGAGGAAGAAGGUCUUCGGAUUGUAAACUCCUGUUGUUGGGGAAGAUAAUGACGGUACCCAACAAGGAAGUGACGGCUAACUACGUGCCAGCAGCCGCGGUAAAACGUAGGUCACAAGCGUUGUCCGGAAUUACUGGGUGUAAAGGGAGCGCAGGCGGGAAGACAAGUUGGAAGUGAAAUCUAUGGGCUCAACCCAUAAACUGCUUUCAAAACUGUUUUUCUUGAGUAGUGCAGAGGUAGGCGGAAUUCCCGGUGUAGCGGUGGAAUGCGUAGAUAUCGGGAGGAACACCAGUGGCGAAGGCGGCCUACUGGGCACCAACUGACGCUGAGGCUCGAAAGUGUGGGUAGCAAACAGAAUUAGAUACCCUGGUAGUCCACACCGUAAA